GCCGGAGUGGCUUAAUGGCAAAGCAACCGCCUUGUAAGCGGUAGAUUGCGGGUUCGAUUCCCGCCUCCGGCUCCA
This 75-nucleotide transfer RNA is filed under the name Dermatophilaceae bacterium. RNAcentral's name for it is "tRNA-Thr". It matches the Rfam family "tRNA". Rfam says of the family: Transfer RNA (tRNA) molecules are approximately 80 nucleotides in length. The record is from RNAcentral. Lineage: Bacteria; Bacillati; Actinomycetota; Actinomycetes; Micrococcales; Dermatophilaceae.